CGAUGCUGUUUCUUUUCCUUUCUCACGCCGAUCAUAAACCCUAAUAGGCUAAUUCUUUUUUCUUUUUGAAUUGCUUUUCAUUGAUUCCCCCAAUUCGAUUCAAGUAUCAGAAAUCAAAUCUUCAUAUUUCAUUUCAAAAUAAGAUAUUCGCGUCAAGUUUUCACAUCUGAACCCUUUGAGAUACGAAGAGAAGGAUUGAUGGAACGAGCUAAAUCGAAAGACGGAUGUGCAGGUGUGGUUCAGAAAGGAGUUCCGGUGUACCACCGAAAAUACAAACAUAAAGCGUGCUCGGAAAUCUAUUUGAGAUUAUUUGCAACAGAUUGAAGCUAUAGUCCAAGAUAACAAUGCUCGAGGAACUAUUUCUAAUAUUGAAGAUCUGAAUGUUCGGAUAGAAAACCAGGUUAGUCAUCUAAAAUCCCUUUGACGCUCAAGAACUUCUCAAUGUCUCAAAGAAUAUCGUGAUUAAUGGUUGUGUGCUACAUUAGAUGGUUAUAUUGGACUUGGUGUGAGAUCAUCUUUAGAUCUCCGGGGUUUAUAAGGGAAUAUUUAGAGAUUUUUAAUUAUUUUAAAUGUAUGCGUAUUAAUUUUAAUUUCACUUUGUCAUUAGUUUAUGUAAUAUGUACCUUCUUGUACUUCAUGUGAAUACA
Helianthus annuus (common sunflower) is the source of this 647-nucleotide long non-coding RNA. RefSeq lists it as uncharacterized. The record is from RefSeq and is a predicted model, not a curated record. The transcript is spliced from 3 exons. Lineage: Eukaryota; Viridiplantae; Streptophyta; Magnoliopsida; Asterales; Asteraceae.